UACGUAGGCAGCAAGCGUUGUUCGGAAUUACUGGGCGUAAAGAGCGCGCAGGCGGUCGUGCAAGUCGCGUGUGAAAGCCCCCGGCUCAACUGGGGAGGGUCACGCGAUACUGAUCGACUCGAAGGCAGGAGAGGGUAGUGGAAUUCCCGGUGUAGUGGUGAAAUGCGUAGAUAUCGGGAGGAACACCAGUGGCGAAGGCGACUACCUGGCCUGUUCUUGACGCUGAGGCGCGAAAGCUAGGGGAGCAAACGGG
This 253-nucleotide ribosomal RNA is filed under the name uncultured bacterium. RNAcentral describes it as "partial 16S ribosomal RNA". It matches the Rfam family "Bacterial small subunit ribosomal RNA", at positions 524 to 776 of the family's 1533-position model. The record is from RNAcentral.